This 468-nucleotide ribosomal RNA is filed under the name uncultured bacterium. RNAcentral describes it as "partial 16S ribosomal RNA". It matches the Rfam family "Bacterial small subunit ribosomal RNA", at positions 28 to 507 of the family's 1533-position model. The record is from RNAcentral.
GACGAACGCUGGCGGCGUGCUUAACACAUGCAAGUCGAACGGAAAGGCCCUGCUUUUGUGGGGUGCUCGAGUGGCGAACGGGUGAGGAACACGUGAGUAACCUGCCCUUGACUUUGGGAUAACUUCAGGAAACUGGGGCUAAUACCGGAUAGGAGCUCCUGCUGCAUGGUGGGGGUUGGAAAGUUUCGGCGGUUGGGGAUGGACUCGCGGCUUAUCAGCUUGUUGGUGGGGUAGUGGCUUACCAAGGCUUUGACGGGUAGCCGGCCUGAGAGGGUGACCGGCCACAUUGGGACUGCGAUACGGCCCAGACUCCUACGGGAGGCAGCAGUGGGGAAUAUUGCACAAUGGGCGCAAGCCUGAUGCAGCAACGCCGCGUGCGGGAUGACGGCUUUCGGGUUGUAAACCGCUUUCGCCUGUGACGAAGCGUGAGUGACGGUAAUGGGUAAAGAAGCACCGGCUAACUACGUG